Long non-coding RNA from Malania oleifera, 726 nucleotides. RefSeq lists it as uncharacterized. The record is from RefSeq and is a predicted model, not a curated record. Lineage: Eukaryota; Viridiplantae; Streptophyta; Magnoliopsida; Santalales; Ximeniaceae. The transcript is spliced from 3 exons.
AAGUCCGCGGCUAAUAGACAGUAAAGCACGAUCUGCGAUCCGAAAACCCUAAACGCGCCGCGGCUAAUAGACGGUAAGCACGAGGAGCGAUCCGAAAACCCUAAAAGCCGCCGCACCCCCUCCACUUUAAAAGCCAACUUAGGGUUACAGUACUUCAACUUAGGGUAAGCACGAAGUCGAACCCCGCGGAGGCGUCUGCUGCCCUCCCUCCAUUCGGUGGUCGUGCUGCAAGGGUUCGAGAUCUGAGGAUCGAUUUCUUGACGGCUUUGUUCUGGGGGCAUAUAUUGUUUUCCUUCCAAAGCAUAAGGGGUGCUUUCAUCCAGAGCUGGUGCUUGUUGCAUCUCUGGCUUCCCUUUCUUUGGCAAAAAAUCCCAUGUUUGCGGUUCCGAAGAACCAGUUAUUGAAGAAUGUAUUGAGAUACAUGGUAAAUUUAUGGAGACCAAUUUCAUCCAAUGAACUUCUGAAUAUAAGGUCCAUCUGAGUUGAGGUCCUUUUUUCACUUGUAAAAUGUGGUAGGGAUGCUUGUUUGUCAAGUAUGGUGUAUGUAACUCGUUGACAAGUUUGUGAAAAAAUUGUUUAUUGGAUUCCAGCGUGUACAAAUUUUUAGAUUUUAGGUGUAGGACAUUUUGAUUAACAGUUUUUUAAAAUUUGAGAAAGAAUUGAAACAUUGUUAAUUUUUUGGGUAGUAAAGGUAGUGAGGAAUUUUGAAGUGUUCAGCUGAUUAAA